RNAcentral lists this ribosomal RNA (421 nucleotides) under uncultured bacterium. RNAcentral describes it as "partial 16S ribosomal RNA". It matches the Rfam family "Bacterial small subunit ribosomal RNA", at positions 360 to 773 of the family's 1533-position model. The record is from RNAcentral.
AAUAUUGGACAAUGGGGGAAACCCUGAUCCAGCCAUCCCGCGUGUGUGAUGAAGGCCUUCGGGUUNUAAAGCACUUUAGGCAGGGANGAAAAGCAUUAGCCUAAUACCUGAAUCUGCUGACGUUACCUACAGAAUAAGCACCGGCUAACUACGUGCCAGCAGCCGCGGUAAUACAGAGGGUGCAAGCGUUAAUCGGAAUUACUGGGCGUAAAGCGUGCGGAGGUGGUUUGUCAAGUAGGAUGUGAAAUCCCAGGGCUUAACCUUGGAACUGCAUUCUUAACUGACGAGCUAGAGUAUGGCAGAGGGUAGUAGAAUUCCGCGUGUAGCAGUGAAAUGCGUAGAUAUGCGGAGGAACACCGGUGGCGAAGGCAGCUCCCUGGAAUAAUACUGACGCUCAUGUACGAAAGCGUGGGGAGCAAAC